GCGCCUAUAGCUCAGUCGGAUAGAGCGCGGGACUUCUAAGCCCGGCGUCGCAGGUUCGAUUCCUGCUAGGCGCG
This 74-nucleotide transfer RNA is filed under the name Actinomycetales bacterium. RNAcentral's name for it is "tRNA-Arg". It matches the Rfam family "tRNA". Rfam says of the family: Transfer RNA (tRNA) molecules are approximately 80 nucleotides in length. The record is from RNAcentral. Lineage: Bacteria; Bacillati; Actinomycetota; Actinomycetes; Actinomycetales. RNAcentral also lists the same sequence under 1 other name.